UACGAAGGGGGCUAGCGUUGUUCGGAAUCACUGGGCGCAAAGCGCACGUAGGCGGAUCUUUAAGUCAGGGGUGAAAUCCCGAGGCUCAACCUCGGAACUGCCUUUGAUACUGGGGAUCUCGAGUCCGGGAGAGGUGAGUGGAACUGCGAGUGUAGAGGUGAAAUUCGUAGAUAUUCGCAAGAACACCAGUGGCGAAGGCGGCUCACUGGCCCGAUACUGACGCUGAGGCACGAAAGCGUGGGGAGCGAACAGG
This 253-nucleotide ribosomal RNA is filed under the name uncultured bacterium. RNAcentral's name for it is "partial 16S ribosomal RNA". It matches the Rfam family "Bacterial small subunit ribosomal RNA", at positions 524 to 776 of the family's 1533-position model. The record is from RNAcentral.